Molecule: ribosomal RNA, 561 nt
Filed under: uncultured bacterium
Lineage: Bacteria
Description: partial 16S ribosomal RNA
Rfam family: Bacterial small subunit ribosomal RNA
Source: RNAcentral
UGGGGAAUAUUGGACAAUGGGGGCAACCCUGAUCCAGCCAUGCCGCGUGAGUGAUGAAGGCCCUAGGGUUGUAAAGCUCUUUUGUGCGGGAAGAUAAUGACGGUACCGCAAGAAUAAGCCCCGGCUAACUUCGUGCCAGCAGCCGCGGUAAUACGAAGGGGGCUAGCGUUGCUCGGAAUCACUGGGCGUAAAGGGUGCGUAGGCGGGUUUCUAAGUCAGAGGUGAAAGCCUGGAGCUCAACUCCAGAACUGCCUUUGAUACUGGAAGUCUUGAGUAUGGCAGAGGUGAGUGGAACUGCGAGUGUAGAGGUGAAAUUCGUAGAUAUUCGCAAGAACACCAGUGGCGAAGGCGGCUCACUGGGCCAUUACUGACGCUGAGGCACGAAAGCGUGGGGAGCAAACAGGAUUAGAUACCCUGGUAGUCCACGCCGUAAACGAUGGAUGCCAGCCGUUAGUGGGUUUUACUCACUAGUGGCGCAGCUAACGCUUUAAGCAUUCCGCCUGGGGAGUACGGUCGCAAGAUUAAAACUUAAAGGAAUUGACGGGGUCAUAGCUGUUUCCU